GGGGCGGAGCUUAGCGUUUGAACCAGACGGUCGCAUGGCCGUGGAGCUCCGGACCAGCGGACUAAUUAAACACCUUUACCGACAUCUCAACUUACGCCAACUUGCCACAGGAAGACCCAGAAAACCCCCCGGGCUCCAUGGGUCGGAAAAACAAGAAGGUGAAACCCGACAAGCCCCGUCAGGGCAUGGACAUCGGGGAACUAUGGCGGCAGGCGCACUAUGCAGCAGGAGCCAAAAUGGCGUCCUUGCACGGCGGCUGCUCCGACUUUACAGACGAGUCGUCGGAGGAAGACGAGGGGGACCCCAUAGUGCCCAGGCAUGACCCACUAUCUACAUGGGCACAGUCACCCACGAAAACCCCAACCCCUGUGACCAUGGAGGCAAUUGGGGCGCUUAUGGCAGACCACCACAAGAAAAUUGCGGAUGAUGUGGCCCUGCUCAGACAGGACAUUAAAGGCAUUACUACCAGGCUGGGGGCAGUGGAAGCCACCUCUACCAAACACUCUAGUCAGAUCGUGGACCUCCAGGCAACGAUCCGGGACAUGCAACAGAAAACCCGGCAACUUGAGCAACAACUCGCA
Non-coding RNA from Pelobates cultripes (western spadefoot toad), 581 nucleotides. NCBI's taxonomy places the organism in Eukaryota, Metazoa, Chordata, Amphibia, Anura, Pelobatidae. The record is from the annotation of a GenBank genome assembly.